GGAGGAAAAUAUGAGGUCUGGUAGGUAGGAGGGGACAGGGUGGGCGAAUUGACAGGAGAAGUCAGGAAAGCACAGCAGAAGCCAAAGAACUCUCCCACUAACAGCCCAGGACUCUGGGAAAUAAUACCUCACAUUGCAACUUGAUCCUAGAGUUUCGGAAAAGCAGACCCCAGGUGGUGAGAAUGGGCAACCUCACCUCCUCUGCAAUGACCCUGAGCACCGGAGACCCCCAAGGCUGCGUACUCAGUCCCCUCCUGUACUCCCUGUUCAUGCAUGAUUGCGUGUCCACACACAGCUCCAACUUCAUCCUUAAGUCUCCUGAGGAGACUCAAGAGGUUUGCCAUGUCUGCAAAAACUCUCACCAACUUCUACAGCUGCACCAUAAAGAGCAUCCUCUCAGGCUGCAUUACUGCCUGGUACGGCAGGUGCUAGCUGCUGAUCGCAAGGCCCUCCAGAGGGUUGUGAAGUCUGCGGAGCGCCAUCUCCCCUCCGUGCAAGGCCUCUACCACACACAAUGCCGUAGGGUAAGCAUGGA
Molecule: long non-coding RNA, 535 nt
Organism: Esox lucius (northern pike)
Lineage: Eukaryota; Metazoa; Chordata; Actinopteri; Esociformes; Esocidae
Source: Ensembl